Long non-coding RNA from Fundulus heteroclitus (mummichog), 461 nucleotides. RefSeq lists it as uncharacterized. The transcript has 3 exons. The record is from RefSeq and is a predicted model, not a curated record. NCBI's taxonomy places the organism in Eukaryota, Metazoa, Chordata, Actinopteri, Cyprinodontiformes, Fundulidae.
CACACAACGUGCCCUCAAGCUAACCUUACUGCCGUGACGUGCCCUGCUGCUGCGGAUAACCACUGCGACUCCCGAUUCCAGAAAAAGUAAACAACUGGUCAGAGAUGCCUCGUAAGGAGAGGAGGUUAAAACAAAAACAAAAGGAGCUGUGUGAGGCUGCAAAAGGCAGUGGAUCACUCACCAGCUGGAUGACAAAGAGCACAAAAGUGUCUGCACUAUCAGAUUAAUACAGCCCAACUCCAGCAACACAGAAGCACCAACCCCCUCAACAGAAGCUGUUCCAUGAGGUAAAACACAGACUCAUUUCGCUUUGCACUGACCUCAAACAUAUAUGUGAGUAUGUGUGAUAGGGUGUAUUUUGAUUCUACGUUCCAUUAUUUAUAGUAUGGGUUGGUACAUUUCAACCAGUUGUACAGCAAGGUAUGUUUCUGUAUAAUGUUUUAAAUCCGUGCCCCAUGUGC